CCGCCAUUAGCUCAUCAGGAUAGAGCGGGAGCUUUCUAAGCUCCAGGUAUGGGGUUCAAGUCCUCGAUGGCGGACCA
RNAcentral lists this transfer RNA (77 nucleotides) under Serratia proteamaculans. Its description in RNAcentral is "tRNA-Arg". It matches the Rfam family "tRNA". From Rfam's summary of the family: Transfer RNA (tRNA) molecules are approximately 80 nucleotides in length. Their secondary structure includes four short double-helical elements and three loops (D, anti-codon, and T loops). Further hydrogen bonds mediate the characteristic L-shaped molecular structure. tRNAs have two regions of fundamental functional importance: the anti-codon, which is responsible for specific mRNA codon recognition, and the 3' end, to which the tRNAs corresponding amino acid is attached (by aminoacyl-tRNA synthetases). tRNAs cope with the degeneracy of the genetic code in two manners: having more than one tRNA (with a specific anti-codon) for a particular amino acid; and 'wobble' base-pairing, i.e. permitting non-standard base-pairing at the 3rd anti-codon position. Lineage: Bacteria; Pseudomonadati; Pseudomonadota; Gammaproteobacteria; Enterobacterales; Yersiniaceae. The record is from RNAcentral.